RNAcentral lists this long non-coding RNA (2087 nucleotides) under Struthio camelus australis. RNAcentral's name for it is "lncRNA (ENSSCUG00000018290.1)". The record is from RNAcentral. Lineage: Eukaryota; Metazoa; Chordata; Aves; Struthioniformes; Struthionidae.
AAAUUAAGUUCUAGGUAAUACACUGUAAGCAAGCCUGAAAAGCUGAGAAAUCUGUGAGCUUAUGCUGUUUGAUCAGUAGGUAGAUGGGACUGAGAUACGUAAUACAUAUUAGAGAAUGUAGGAAGAGUUGUGGGGGAGUAACUGAAAGGUUAACACAGUGGUCCCCUCUUCCAGACUCUGAUUUCUAAAGUUUAGACGUUAAACUGCUGGGCGACGUUUUUCUUCACUAAGCCCCAAAGCCAGAGUGAAGAUAUUUUAGGGAAAGUUGUAAGGUUUUGUGGUUUGUAGCUCUUUCAGGUGUUGGGAUGAUUUUAUGAGUUUGGUGUUAUUGGAUGACUUAUUCAGCUUGGAAAAUAAACACUCUGCAGUCUUUGUUUGUUUUACAGAUGGAGUGAGAAAUACACAGCCCGGGGAGCUGGAUCACAUCCCUGACUUCACUUAACGCAGCCACGAGGUCUUCCUGCAUUAGUACUGGAUAAGAGCAAGGGGUUGCGUAUAUCUCUCCUUUCCAAUCUGCCUUGCUGCAUCUCGAGAAGGGUGAGAAGCCCCCACGCUGUGGCACGAGACUCAGAGACCCUGGGCUGGGCCAGCUCAGCCUCCACCCCGCCUGGUGUCCCUCGUGUCCCAUCCCAAACAUGGGCCCACAGGGGGCACCUGCGACAGCCUGCAAUAACAGCGCGGGUAUCUAGUAUUAUUACUUUUUCAGCCUCGAGGAUUAGCACCUCAGGGACUUCCUGCACCAGAAAUGUCUGUUGUGAGCCAAUUUAAGAGGAGGCUUGACAGCUAUUGUGGAAAAGAAAUGUUGCUGGCACUGCCACUCCGUGUGCUAUCAGUUUGACUUCAUGCAUCCAAGGAUUAUGAUUUUUGAAACCACAGAUGUCUGCGGCUUGGCUAAUAACAGACAGGCUUGUCGGCUACCCUGUGUCGAGGAUAACUGCAUCUCCCUGGGAAGCAGCGACUGAAGAGCCAGAGUUGCAUCCUCACACUGUGAGAUUUCUAAUUAACUGCAGCACCCAAAGCAGGCCAGCCUGAAAUCAAUAUAAUAAGCCGCUAUCAAUGGGAAAAAUCCUCAAACCCGCUAGUAAUUUAGAAACAGAAACAAUGUGGGAGUAUUGGAAAACUGUAUGUUAUCAUCUUUCAGAGGCUAUUGAAUAGUUUUGCAGGAUUUUGAAUGGAAUAAUGCAGUUUUAUAGAACUCAACUAUUGGGCUUCUCCCAUCACACGGUUAUACUGAAUCACGUAAGGAAUUGUGCUGUGCUAUAGAUAAAAGUGCCUGAUGUGCAUAACAUAUUGUAAUGUGAAGAAUCUGAUACAAUAUUGCAAUACCAUGUUAGAUUUUUGUCAGCUUUUCAUUAGCGUUCAGUGAACUGCCCAAGGUCUCACACCAAGGCCCAGUGCUCUGCUGUGCUACUGCGGCUGUGUUCCUGCCUGCUGCCCUGCGCUAAUGCCCAGGUGUGCCUCGUUCAGUAACGAGCCUCCACCUCCCUCAUGCCCUCAUACCACAGAGAAGGCUAGGUGGGCUUCUCAUCUCCUCUUUGGCAAUCCCAUGCUCCUGUCUGCCGUGAGGGCCUGGUAAAGCAAAAGACUGUCAGGAAUCCAAGCUGCCACCUGCAAGUCUGACCAUUUGGUUAAAGGGCCCCAAAUAUUCAGAUGCUGAGGUGGAGUGAAAAAAGUCACAAGUCGUAGAGCUGCUAAUGCUCUGGAUCAUUGUCUGUUGAACCCUGGUUCACGGCUGAGAAGGCAACACCUGCACUUCUGGUUAUGUGUUGUUCUUAUCCUCAGACCUGCGUAGCAGUUGCCAAACUGGAGCUCUCAGGUAAUGUUAGUUGUAAAAAAUAUAGGUUCUUCCUUCAAGGGAAGUGAAAGUGUUUGAUACAUUUAAAUGGAGAAUGAUUGGCGAAAGUAGCCAUGGACAAGGCUCAGUCCUCUCUUCUGUUAUAUUAUUUGUUCAAUUAUUUGAGAGUGCAGUUAGAUACUUCCAGUGAGCACAAGUGCAGCCUCUUGGGUACCUUCUGUGCUAGGCUUGAAUGCCACUGGCUCUCUUUUGCUGCCUGGCUACAAUAAACUCUAGAUAAAUGUGUUUAACA